CAAUAGCGUAUAUUAAAAGUUGUUGCAGUUAAAAAAGCUCGUAGUUGAACCUUGGGUCUGGCUGGCCGGUCCGCCUCACCGCGAGUACUGGUCCCGGCUGAACCCUUUUCCUUCUGGGGAACCCUCAGGCCUUCACUGGCUGGGGGGAACCAGGACUUUUACUGUGAAAAAAUUAGAGUGUUCAAAGCAGGCCUUUGCUCGAAUACAUUAGCAUGGAAUAAUAGAAUAGGACGUGUGGUUCUAUUUUGUUGGUUUCUAGGACCGCCGUAAUGAUUAAUAGGGAUAGUCGGGGGCGUCAGUAUUCAGCUGUCAGAGGUGAAAUUCUUGGAUUUGCUGAAGACUAACUACUGCGAAAGCAUUCGCCAAGGAUGUUUUCAUUAAUCAGGAACGAAAGUUAGGGGAUCGAAGAUGAUUAGAU
RNAcentral lists this ribosomal RNA (418 nucleotides) under uncultured eukaryote. RNAcentral describes it as "SSU rRNA". It matches the Rfam family "Eukaryotic small subunit ribosomal RNA", at positions 592 to 1013 of the family's 1831-position model. The record is from RNAcentral.